RNAcentral lists this ribosomal RNA (468 nucleotides) under uncultured bacterium. RNAcentral's name for it is "partial 16S ribosomal RNA". It matches the Rfam family "Bacterial small subunit ribosomal RNA", at positions 28 to 507 of the family's 1533-position model. The record is from RNAcentral.
GACGAACGCUGGCGGCGUGCUUAACACAUGCAAGUCGAACGGAAAGGCCCUGCUUUUGUGGGGUGCUCGAGUGGCGAACGGGUGAGUAACACGUGAGUAAUCUGCCCUUGACUUUGGGAUAACUUCAGGAAACUGGGGCUAAUACCGGAUAGGAGCUCCUGCUGCAUGGUGGGGGUUGGAAAGUUUCGGCGGUUGGGGAUGGACUCGCGGCUUAUCAGCUUGUUGGUGGGGUAGUGGCUUACCAAGGCUUUGACGGGUAGCCGGCCUGAGAGGGUGACCGGCCACAUUGGGACUGAGAUACGGCCCAGACUCCUACGGGAGGCAGCAGUGGGGAAUAUUGCACAAUGGGCGGAAGCCUGAUGCAGCAACGCCGCGUGCGGGAUGACGGCCUUCGGGUUGUAAACCGCUUUCGCCUGUGACGAAGCGUGAGUGGCGGUAAUGGGUAAAGAAGCACCGGCUAACUACGUG